Hordeum vulgare subsp. vulgare (domesticated barley) is the source of this 450-nucleotide long non-coding RNA. RefSeq lists it as uncharacterized. The transcript has 2 exons. The record is from RefSeq and is a predicted model, not a curated record. Lineage: Eukaryota; Viridiplantae; Streptophyta; Magnoliopsida; Poales; Poaceae.
CAGCUAUUAUCAGUGUGGAGCUUCGAAAACAUGGUAUGCGAUUUGAGGAAAAGCUGCUGCAGAUUUUGGGAAAGUGAGAUUAUGCCUGAAGCACCGGGUGUUUGAAGUAUGUCAAGCUGAUCUUCAGAACGAUGAGGACCAGGCCUACAGGAAGAUUAUGCCUGAACCAUUUGUCGUUUCUCCUUUGGCCCCGUCUAUUCUUGUCCCAUCUCUUUGCUACACACUUUUUUAGAUUGCAAGUUUCUGCAUGUACUAGUGCUGGCUAUUCUAAGGAAAUUGCUUGUUCGCAUCGUCAAAGAACGCUAGUUGGUACUUUUACCCAAACGAAUGUUUCUGAACUUUUUCUGUGGUUGUGCUCAAUUUAUCCCAUGACUGUAAAAAGAAGUGUAGCACGCCGAAACACAGUAAGAGGAUGUGAUAAGAAAAUUGUUCAGUUGUUUUCUACUCGUA